UCUGCCUCAGGCCUCUGGGUGUGAGGCCUGAGAGUCGGGCCGGAUCUGAAAGAAGGCCGCUUCUCCGGGUUUUACUAGCAACUUGAGGAAGAGUAAGGAAAGUGCUGGGGAGGCUGUCAGCUACAACCAGUCGGCUUCAGGUUUGGGCUUAGAAGUCCCAGAACAGCACUUGGGCUGCUUUCUAUUGGGAAAGACCCGUCCAGACUUAAGCCUCUGGACCAUUCACUGGGGAUUUUCACUUGCUUCUCAGUUGAAACCAGGACAGCUGGGUCUCCCUUCCUUGCUCCGUGUCCUCUGUUCCUGUGAUUCUGGACUGUACCAGGCCCUUUGACCUUCCACUGCUCCUUCAAGAACUUCGGCCCGUCAGUCCCAGGUGCCAAUUUGAAUUUUGAGUCUUGACUUUCUCAGCUUCUGGUGAUCCCCUUGAUUUUUUUGUUACACACUUGUUUCUGGGUUCCUGAUUGUAUUCUAAUAUAUAUUCUACUUUUUCC
Molecule: non-coding RNA, 491 nt
Organism: Delphinapterus leucas (beluga whale)
Lineage: Eukaryota; Metazoa; Chordata; Mammalia; Artiodactyla; Monodontidae
Source: RefSeq, a predicted model, not a curated record